RNAcentral lists this ribosomal RNA (381 nucleotides) under uncultured eukaryote. Its description in RNAcentral is "partial 18S ribosomal RNA". It matches the Rfam family "Eukaryotic small subunit ribosomal RNA", at positions 592 to 976 of the family's 1831-position model. The record is from RNAcentral.
CAAUAGCGUAUAUUAAAGCUGUUGCGGUUAAAAAGCUCGUAGUUGGAUUUCUGUCAAGGACAACUGGUCCGCCCUUCGGGUGAGCACAUAGUUUGGUCUUGGCAUCUUGUUGGAAACUGUUGCUGCACUUGGUUGUGUGGCGCAGCGUCCAGCACUUUCACUUUGAGGAAAUUGGAGUGUUUCAAGCAGGCACAUGCCUUUGGACACAGUAGCAUGGAAUAAUUAGAUUGGGCUUUUGCUCCAACUUGUCGGUUUCUGGAGCUGAGGUGAGAAUUAAUGGGGAUUGUUGGGGGCAUCCGAAUUUAGCCGUCAGAGGUGAAAUUCUUGGAUCUGCUAAAGACGGACUACUGCGAAAGCAUUUGCCAAGGAUGUUUUCAUUGA